Molecule: non-coding RNA, 161 nt
Organism: Meleagris gallopavo (turkey)
Lineage: Eukaryota; Metazoa; Chordata; Aves; Galliformes; Phasianidae
Source: RefSeq, a predicted model, not a curated record
CUGCAGUGUGAAAUGCUUUGUUCAAGACGGUGCCUUAAAACAUCACAUAAGCUGUAUUCUGCUGUGUAUGAUCCAAAUGAAAAGACUUUUGAAAAGCUCCUUAUUGCCAACAGAGGAGAGAUUGCAUGCCGAGUCAUCAAAACAUGCAAGAAGAUGGGGAU